GAUGAACGCUGGCGGCGUGCCUAAUACAUGCAAGUCGAGCGAACAGACGAGGAGCUUGCUCCUCUGACGUUAGCGGCGGACGGGUGAGUAACACGUGGAUAACCUACCUAUAAGACUGGGAUAACUUCGGGAAACCGGAGCUAAUACCGGAUAAUAUAUUGAACCGCAUGGUUCAAUAGUGAAAGACGGUUUUGCUGUCACUUAUAGAUGGAUCCGCGCCGCAUUAGCUAGUUGGUAAGGUAACGGCUUACCAAGGCAACGAUGCGUAGCCGACCUGAGAGGGUGAUCGGCCACACGGGAACUGAGACACGGUCCAGACUCCUACGGGAGGCAGCAGUAGGGAAUCUUCCGCAAUGGGCGAGAGCCUGACGGAGCAACGCCGCGGGAGUGAUGAAGGUCUUCGGAUCGGAAAACUCUGUUAUUAGGGAAGAACAAAUGUGUAAGUAACUAUGCACGUCUUGACGGUACCUAAUCAGAAAGCCACGGCUAACUACGUG
Molecule: ribosomal RNA, 497 nt
Filed under: uncultured bacterium
Lineage: Bacteria
Description: partial 16S ribosomal RNA
Rfam family: Bacterial small subunit ribosomal RNA
Source: RNAcentral